Molecule: transfer RNA, 45 nt
Filed under: Cirsium arvense
Lineage: Eukaryota; Viridiplantae; Streptophyta; Magnoliopsida; Asterales; Asteraceae
Also listed under: 64 other names
Description: tRNA-Leu
Source: RNAcentral
AAAAUCCGUCGAUUUAAAAAAUCGUGAGGGUUCAAGUCCCUCUAU